Molecule: ribosomal RNA, 497 nt
Filed under: uncultured bacterium
Lineage: Bacteria
Description: partial 16S ribosomal RNA
Rfam family: Bacterial small subunit ribosomal RNA
Source: RNAcentral
GAUGAACGCUGGCGGCGUGCCUAAUACAUGCAAGUCGAGCGAACAGACGAGGAUCUUUCUCCUCUGACGUUAGCGGCGGACGGGUGAUUAACACGUGUAUAACCUACCUAUAAGACUUGGAUAACUUCGGGAAACCUUAUCUAAUACCGGAUAAUAUAUUGAACCUCAUGGUUCAUUAGUCCUAGACGUUUUUGCUGUCACUUUUACAUUUUUCCGCGCCGCAUUAGUUAGUUGGUAAGGUAACGGCUUACCAAGGCUACGAUGCGUAGCGGACCUGAGAGGGUGAUCGGCCACACUGGAACGGAGACACGGUCCAGACUCCUACGGGAGGAAGCAGUAGGGAAUAUUGCGCAAUGGGCGAAAGCCUGACGGAGCAACGCCGAGUGAGUGAAGAAGGUCUUCGGAUCGUAAAACUCUGUUAUUAGGGAAGAAGAAAAGUGUAAGAAAAUAUGCACGUGUUGACGGUACCAAAAGAGAAAGCCACGGCUAACUACGUG